This 1961-nucleotide small RNA is filed under the name Pan troglodytes (chimpanzee). RNAcentral's name for it is "retained intron". Lineage: Eukaryota; Metazoa; Chordata; Mammalia; Primates; Hominidae. The record is from RNAcentral.
GCAGGCGCUCGGACGCAGUGGACAGCCACCUGCUGGACCUGUGCAUCCUGGUGUUCCGGGCCACGUUCGGCAGCGGCGGCCACCUCAGCCUGGGCCGCCUCCUGGCCCACAGUAAGCGCGCGGUCAAGAAGUUUGUCAGCUGCGACGUCAUGCUGGAGCCUGGCGAGUACGCCGUGGUGUGCUGCGCCUUCAACCACUGGGGGCCGCCCCUGCUGGGCACCCCUGCCCCCCAGGGUACGUGGCCCCUACCCCAGGCUCAUGCCCCAGGCCCACAGGGAGGGCUGCGGUUCACACGCCCCUCCUUGUAGCCUCCAGCCCGUCAGCAGGGGUCCCGAGAGCCUCCCCAGAGCCGCCGGGCCACGUGCUGGCUGUGUACAGCUCGAGGCUGGUCAUGGUGGAGCCCGUGGAAGCCCAGCCGACCACGCUGGCCGACGCCAUCAUCCUGCUCACCGAGAGCCGCGGAGAGCGGCACGAGGGCCGUGAGGGCAUGACCUGCUACUACCUGACACACGGUUGGGCGGGGCUCAUCGUGGUGGUGGAGAACCGACACCCCAAGGCCUACCUGCACGUGCAGUGUGACUGCACCGACAGCUUCAACGUGGUGUCCACACGCGGCAGCCUGCGCACCCAGGAUAGCGUGCCACCCCUGCACAGGCAGGUCCUGGUGAUCUUGUCCCAGCUAGAGGGCAACGCCGGCUUCUCUAUCACCCACCGCCUGGCACAUCGCAAGGCAGCCCAGGCCUUCCUCAGUGACUGGACAGCCUCCAAGGGGACCCACAGCCCCCCGCUCACGCCAGAGGUCGCCGGUCUGCAUGGGCCCCGACCGCUGUGACCACCACGCCUGGGGCAGGGGCUGUGCACAGACGGUUCCCCCACCCCCACACGCACUUUAUGAGGGAGACCCCGACAGAGGACGCUUGAGCCAGAAUCUCAGGACCCUGCCCAGGGAGCUGCCAGCCCAGGGCUCAGCUUCCCAUGGGCCCCCCGCCCCCCUCCCUCCCCUCCCUGAACCCCACAGUCCGCCUGGCCAGGCCUCCCGGCCGCCACGCAGAAUACCUCGAACCAGGCGGGCUGUGAACCAGCCCCGCUCACCUGCCAGCCCCAACACCCGACGGGGGCCGAGGCCAGGCUGCCCCUCCCUGUGGGCUCAGGGUCUCCUGCGGGGGAGGCAGCCAGGAGCUCUGUCCACAAAACCAAAUCUGGGUGUCAGAGGCCAAGACCCUGGGGUGGGAUCAGGGACCACCCCUCACGGGGCAUAAGGUCAGUUUUCCCCCAGAGCCCGGGUCCCUGUCCCCCACAGGGCAGGCGGGGUCCCUGGAGCCCUGGUGUGGAGCGGCGAGUCCCGGGGCGGUGCCUGUCUCAGAAGAAGGGGCCCUUGGCCAGCCCCCCAGUGACACUAUGCAAAUCCUGGAGUGCCCGCCAGGAUCGAAGCCAUGACUGGGUGCAGGCGGGCGCCAGGCCCGCUGUGGGUGGGCACCAGUUCUCAGCACCGCUCACUGCUGCCGGGCACACUGGGAUCAGCAGGCUCCUCAGCCAACCCUGUCCCUCGGCCCGGCCCUGCCAGAGAGGGACCCCAGCACAUCGUGGGCAUGGGCAGGGCUCAGCCGCUCCCACCUCCCCACAGAAGCCCAGGAGUGUGUGGACGUCUGAGCCCAGCUUUCUGCGUCCCCACCCGGCCCUCCUGGCCCCUCACCCCCGGCAGCGGGCCGGCCUCGCCCCCACUCCCCCUCCUACCCCGGCAGGGGCUUCCGGGGCCUUUUCACCUGGAGAAACAUUCCCACUCCCCUUUGGCCUCCCUGUACUCUGAGCUGUGAAUAUUUUUAACCCUGUAAAUAUGGCCAGCUCUUGUGACACAGAGACUAUUUUAUCAACUGUCAGCCCCGUUUCUUUACCAUAGGAUUCUCCACAGUGGUUUCCGACUCAGGCUCCAAUGGACCAAAUAAAAGCGUUUUGUUUUGUAA